RNAcentral lists this ribosomal RNA (508 nucleotides) under uncultured bacterium. RNAcentral's name for it is "partial 16S ribosomal RNA". The record is from RNAcentral.
GGAGUUAGCCGGUGCUUCUUCUGUGAGUGAUGUCCUUCCUGCCGGCUAUUAACCCGCAGGCCUUCUUCCUCACUGAAAGUGCUUUACAACCCGAAGGCCUUCUUCACACACGCGGCAUGGCUGGAUCAGGGUUGCCCCCAUUGUCCAAUAUUCCCCACUGCUGCCUCCCGUAGGAGUCUGGGCCGUGUCUCAGUCCCAGUGUGGCUGAUCAUCCUCUCAGACCAGCUACGGAUCGUCGCCUUGGUGAGCCGUUACCUCACCAACCAGCUAAUCCGACAUAGGCUCAUCCGAUAGCGCGAGGCCCGAAGGUCCCCCGCUUUCCCCCGUAGGGCGUAUGCGGUAUUAGCCUGGGUUUCCCCAGGUUAUCCCCCACUACCGGGCAGAUUCCUAUGCAUUACUCACCCGUCCGCCGCUCGCCACCAGGGAGCAAGCUCCCCGUGCUGCCGCUCGACUUGCAUGUGUAGCGUCGCCGCCACGCGUUCAUCUGAGCCAUGAUACAACUACUCGA